GGACGGUUAGCUCAGCGGUAGAGCAUCGCCUUCACACGGCGGGGGUCGGGGGUUCGAAACCCUCACCGUCCACCA
Molecule: transfer RNA, 75 nt
Filed under: Solimonas terrae
Lineage: Bacteria; Pseudomonadati; Pseudomonadota; Gammaproteobacteria; Nevskiales; Nevskiaceae
Also listed under: 2 other names
Description: tRNA-Val
Rfam family: tRNA
About the family: Transfer RNA (tRNA) molecules are approximately 80 nucleotides in length. Their secondary structure includes four short double-helical elements and three loops (D, anti-codon, and T loops).
Source: RNAcentral